UACGGGGGGAGCAAGCGUUGUUCGGAUUUACUGGGCGUAAAGGGCGCGUAGGCGGCCUGCUAAGUCGAACGUGAAAUCCCCGGGCUCAACCCGGGAACUGCGUCCGAUACUGGUUGGCUUGAAUCCGGGAGAGGGAUGCGGAAUUCCAGGUGUAGCGGUGAAAUGCGUAGAUAUCUGGAGGAACACCGGUGGCGAAGGCGGCAUCCUGGACCGGAAUUGACGCUGAGGCGCGAAAGCCAGGGGAGCAAACGGG
Molecule: ribosomal RNA, 253 nt
Filed under: uncultured bacterium
Lineage: Bacteria
Description: partial 16S ribosomal RNA
Rfam family: Bacterial small subunit ribosomal RNA
Source: RNAcentral